Alligator mississippiensis (American alligator) is the source of this 2410-nucleotide long non-coding RNA. RefSeq lists it as uncharacterized. Lineage: Eukaryota; Metazoa; Chordata; Crocodylia; Alligatoridae. The record is from RefSeq and is a predicted model, not a curated record. The transcript has 2 exons.
CGCAGCCUCAUGGGACCCCGCGAGGCGGAAGUGGCUGCGACCGGCCACAGCCGCCUUCCGGUUCCCAGCAGCGCAGAGCGCCCCCUGCCGGCGGCGGCCGCGGGCGGACCCAACACGCCCUGCCCCUGGCGCGGGGCUGAAGAGGCCGCAAAGGAGGGCUGUGUGCAGGCCCGGCCCAAGGGGACGAGGACACGUUGAAGGCCGACCUCAAGGAAGUGGCUGGAGGGACAAGGUGCGAAGGACGAGCGCCCAGAGCACAGCCACCGUCUAGUCCUAGCCCCACGCACAGCCCCGACCCCGGCCCAUUGGGGGGUUGUUUUUGCAGAUGCCCCCACGCACCACGGUGCAAUUCGACGCCUGGAGCCGGCCGCGAACGCAACUGGGUGGCGGCCCGUUUCGGGGACACAGGUCACCCUGGAAGCAAGAAGAGAGCGGGGGAAGGAAGAGGAGCGCUGCCGCCACCCUGCGGGACGGCCCUGGAGGCUCCAGGAGUCAGACGAGCGCGGGACGCAGGACAUUCAUUUAAACAAACAUUAAAUGUAGAAUCUGAGUGCAGGAGGCCUACGUUUUAAACGUAGUAGCAAUGUGCGUCCGCCUUCCUUACGCGACGCCUACGCACCGUCAUCCGCAGCCGACACGCGUGAGCACGUCUGCGUUGCGUCACGAGCGCGCUGGCGUUUCGGAAACCUGGGAGAGAUUCAAAACACAAGAGUUGGCCACUCUCAUCCCAGCCUGCGUAUCAGCGAGCGGUGGUACGAGGUCACCUUCGAAUCAAAGGAUUGAUGAAGAGGAGGAAAAAUCUACCCGACAAGAACCUUUUCCCUCGCGCUCUGAUGUCAGAUAACACAACCAAACAGUAAGGAUAAGGAAAAAGGUUGAUAAGCUAAUCGCCCUCCUCUGACUGAGAAUCAGAUGCCCCUGAUCGCUUUCAUUUCCAGAUUACAAUACGUCGCCAGAGCAGGAAGCAAUUCUUGUGAAGAAGACCUAGGACUGUCACCGUCCGGGAUGGUAGAUGCCAUUUAAAAGCCAGAAGACUACAGCAUCUCCCGGCGGUCUGAUUAUGGAAGGUGCUCCACAAACAGCCACAAAAACUUACAUGCUACACUGACUGGAGUUUGACAGUCCCAGAUACAUUUUAUAGAAGCAUUUCGAAGUAGUAUACUUUUUUGGAACAAUAACAGCUCUACCAAUUAUCAAAAGUGAUAGUAUUUGGAUACCAAACAUGGGGGAAAAUGAUAGGCAAAGAUGAUUCAGAGAUAUUUAGUUAAAUAUGAAUUUGAAUUCAUAUUUUAAUGAUUUCUGGCAGCAAAAAAUCCCCCUAAUGAAAGCGAGUUUGAAAACCUGUAUCAGAUUUAACUUUGUAUUGCUUUCUUCCCUCUACUUAUGCAGCUGGAUUUUAUGCUCUUUCACAAGUAAUGGUAGGGAACUAGAGACCCAGUUUUGUGCCUGUGAACUAACAGAACAUGUGAAGAGCAGCUAGAAUUGCACUCUCAAGAGUUCUAGUUCUAAUCUUUUAAUUAUCAGUAUUUCCUUUAGCAUUAACAGUAUGCUUAGUGUUAUACAUAACAAAGACAAAUUCUACCUUGAAAGAAACAUUACGAUCUAAAAUGCAGGUUCAGAGAAAACAACACUAAGGGAUUUAACUUUCUCUCAUUUAGCUUACCUGUAAGUGUAACAUUUGGGUGGAGACCAAAGGUAAGCACUCUGUAACAAGUGAAUUUUCAGAAGACAACCAAGUAAGAAGUUGGGGCUCAAUGCAAUAACUAGGUGGUCAUUCCAGGUCUUGAACAUGGGAGUGGGAGGACACAGCUCCCUCCAUACAACAUUUUGAGGCUGGCAUUGGUUAAUCAAAUGUUCGGUAUGUCCAAUUGUUAAACUUAUAUCAGAUAUGUAUGUGGGGGGGGGGGGGGAGAAAGGGGCGGUGUCUUUAAUCAGAGGCCACAAGUGAAAUAAGUAGUAGAGGGAAGAUUUAUUCCAGUUGCAUGUGCAUCAGUACCCUGGAAUAUUUAAAACUAAAUAUACUAAUAGGCACCCAAUAUUACUCCUGGGAAUGCUUGAGCAGUCUUCUUGUGCACUCUUCCUGAACAGGUUUUGGCAGUGUUCACAGAAGCUUUUGUGGUCAAACAUAACAGGCAAGAGCCAACUGUUAUGAAAUGCUAGAUUAGGCCUUACAUUUGCCAUGUCCUCAUGGGACACUACCUGACAACACUGGGGUUGUAUAUAGCACAGCAGUAUAUUUGCAUACAGUGAAUUGCUCAAAUUAACAACAGAAGGAAACUGUAUACUGAAAACAGCAACCAUUGUACAUACCUAUAUUCGUUAUCACACUAAAAUGUUCUUCAAAAAUAAGGCAAUAUCCCAGAAAUGAAGAGAUUAAUAAAUUAGAAUGUUUCAGGGGUUUUUUAUUUUA